GGAAGCAUCCUACGAGAGAGGAAAAAUUAUGCAUAUCAGGAUCCUCUCCAACACCAGCUGACUCUUUGGAUACGUCGCUUCUGCGCUACUUUGUAAUUUGGCAGGGUCUGCUUGACACAGAUGUAAAAAGACUACAAAUACCGGGAUAAGAUGCCCUACAGAAACAGAACAGUCCAGGUGGAUCCGGUGGAUCUGGUGUAUGAAAAAGAUAUUCGAACCUCCCGACUCCGGUACAGUGUUUGAUUAACUGAAAUAACUUCAAGCUCAUAUCAUCCGAGGAAUUGAACACCGUCUAAAUUUCCAGAGAAGCAAAUGAUGGUACAGGAAAACUAGCCAAGAACAAGCAAAAGGAACACGAGACUCAAAAAGAAAGGCAGUUCAAGGAACUUCAUCGGGCUUAAAUGCUGGAACUUUUUGAGAACCUAAUGCUUUUAAUUUCAAUGCAGCAUCUGUCACUCCCGAAAUAUUGUUUAGAGCCGGAGAGGGCUAAAGGUCCAACGGAAACAUGCAGAAGGUCAUCUAGAAUUUGAUGCUAGCACAGCAAGCCAGUUGAUAAGGCAAACAAGCCUUUAAGUAGUGACCCACCCUACCCGACCUGUAUGAUAAAUGAAAAAAAUAGAUUUGGAAACGGACCGAUCAACGCAGACAAGCAUAUCAGUAAGAUUCGAGUGGAUUCCGAGUGUAAAUUCUAUCAAGCUAUUUACCUGGGAAACUGAAUCUUUAAGGACCCAUUGCAGCCGAAGGAGGUGUUAAAUUUGCAGCCGAAGGAGGUGUAAAAUUUACUAACCGUUAACUAUGUUGGAAAUGACGAUUCGACUAGUCCAUUUUUCUAACUUGGACCUUAUACAGCCAUCGGGAUGCCGAAACGUUGGCACUGUGGCUUUCAAGUGGUCAAGCCUGGCUUGACACCGGCACACGACCGAUGUGGUUCUGCCAGUUUGUUUUUGUCGGUAUUGAUACCGAUAGAUAAAUCCCCUAAGCUCAUCGAGGUAAAAUUAUGACAUACUUUGGGCAACAUGAUGAUGCAGCAAACGAUUAAACUGUAUUACCAGAAGUGCAUAGCACGAUAGGAUUCCUCAAGCUUUAAAAAACGUGCCCGACUGUACUCAAAGGCCAGAUCUGUUGCUGUUCUUCGACAGCAUGUUCCGUUUAACCUAGUCCUACUUCGCUUGCCCGCAUCCCGUUCGCUGCAGAUUAUAAGUUUACCUUUGCCAGCAUAAUGGCGAGAAUGGAGGUAUGGAAGAACUUAUUACAACCAUUACAACCACCUUCGGGCCUAUGUGCCAUAUAUGUGCCGAUAUGACAAAUCCUGAUUUUUUAGUUUUGCAUUCGAUUGCUGAACUGAGAAUCAACCUAAGGCGUGUAUACAAGAAGAUAUAAGGAUUAGGAUUGGGUUUCUAGACUAAAAUUCAGGAUUUAGGACUUUGAUCACGGGCAAAAAGUAAACAUUCAAAGAAAAAUAAGGAGGUAUAGGAUCAGAGGGGGGAAGGAUCAGAGGGGGGAAGGAUUGACUAGGUGAGUUGGACUUAACAAAGGAAAAAUUGUACUCGAAUAUUUUUUUAGAAAUGUUAU
Molecule: long non-coding RNA, 1572 nt
Organism: Uranotaenia lowii
Lineage: Eukaryota; Metazoa; Arthropoda; Insecta; Diptera; Culicidae
Exons: 4
Source: RefSeq, a predicted model, not a curated record